Long non-coding RNA from Oryzias melastigma (Indian medaka), 1238 nucleotides. RefSeq lists it as uncharacterized. The transcript has 2 exons. NCBI's taxonomy places the organism in Eukaryota, Metazoa, Chordata, Actinopteri, Beloniformes, Adrianichthyidae. The record is from RefSeq and is a predicted model, not a curated record.
CUCUCUAAACACCAAGCCAGACUCGGGUGAGCUACCAGGGGCUUUUUCCUCACAGGCCAACUGGAGUCUUUGAUUUCACAUCCAGAAGAGAAGUUAGAAGGUCGUAGGUUCAGGUGAAACCUCAGUUUAAAUGAAUAAGCCCCUGGUAAGCUGAUGGUGACCUCCAGUGUCUAAGGUCAUCCGAAGAGCUUCAUCUUAAGCUUUGUGAAGACCUCCCAGGAAGACGGUCCAAGCGGUUCCACAAUCAUAAUUGAAUAUGUGAGCCUGAGACUCCCCACCAGAACUGAUGAAGCCUUCAGAUGACAAGGGAAAGUUCUCCAAAGACCAGAGGAAGUGCUCCAGCUGCUCAGACCACCAACCCAAAGAGGAAAAACAGAGUCUGCCACAAUCCAAGCUGCAGGAGUCUGCUGCCACACCACAGCCUUUCAAUCUGAUCAGCAGCUUCUCGUCUCAUACAGAUCCAACCCUGUAUUUAUGACCGACUUCAGCUGAUUGGUUCACAAGAAAAUGCUCCUCCACCACUGAACGUCUGAACAAACCAGAACACGAUCCGGUUUCCACCAUCAGGGUAGCCGAGUGAGAAGCAGGAAGAACAGAAGUGAUGAUAGAAAACAGAGACGGUACUCACUUUUCUUCUGGCCUUUGUACUGCUGGGCCUUCUUCUUCUGCUUGGGCAGAGAGUGGGACAUCUCUCUGUUGUCUGAAACACAGAGAUGGGACGAGCUCAGGGUAAAUGUCAGAGACUGGACCGGAGCAGACCGAAUGAGCAGAGGGACAGCAGCUUCAUUAUUCAUAUGUUCUCUCCACACUCAUCCCUAUAUCAUAAAGGACUGUGGAGCCAGGCCAAUGGGAGGAGAGCAUGAUGCUUCCAUGUUAACCACAAGGAAUAACAACAUGUACAGGAACUGGGAGAAGAAGGAGGAUCAAUAACGUUGAUUUAUCCCUCAGCGUCUGAGGACCAUCUGCAUGUUUUUAGAAGAACGAUUCAAAAUGACAACUGUUUUAUAGCAGGAACGAAGUUUAACAUUAUAAAAACAAACAUCCAACUCAAAAGAAAGCUAAAGACAGGAAGUGAGGGGCGUUUCGUGUCCACAGCACUCAGUGACAUUUAGAGAGACGUGGGAACAUGUCCGGUUGUUCAAGUGAGGCACUGGUCACCGUCUGGGUCAGGAGUCUGCAACCUGAGGCUCUUUAGCUCUAAUGAAAAAUGCUGAAUAAAUAAGAGAUCAGUUAUUCAA